AGGUGCUAUCAUACAAGCACUAAUGCACUGGAUCCCAUCAGAACUCCACAGUGAAGCGCGCUUGGGCGAGACUAGUACUAGGAUAGUUGACCUCUUGGGAAGUCCUCGUGUUGCACCUC
Lupinus angustifolius (narrow-leaved blue lupine) is the source of this 119-nucleotide non-coding RNA. NCBI's taxonomy places the organism in Eukaryota, Viridiplantae, Streptophyta, Magnoliopsida, Fabales, Fabaceae. The record is from Rfam.